AGGGUAAAUGUUCAAGAAACUCUUCUCCAAAUCCAAAUUCCACUUGGAUUCCACUCCGGGAGGAAAGUCCAUGUGAAGACACAAUGAGAAGGCAAGAAGGCAUCCAUCUGCAAGCCAGGAAAAGAGCCCUCAUCAGAAACCAAAUGUUGUGAGAACUUGAUCUUGGACUUCCAGCCUCCAGAACUGUGAGAAAAUUAAUUUAUGUUGUCUAAGCCACACAGUCUGUAGUAUACUGUUACAGCAGCCUGAGCAGAUUAUGACAGAUGUCAAAGAGAACUUCAGCCUUAGCUGAUAUGUUAGCUGUAAUCUUUUAAUGUUUUAGAAUGAGAAUGUAUGUAUGUAUUACUCAUGUGACUAAAACAUUAACUUUUUAAAGUCAACUUUCUCUUCCCUCUUCCCCCAUAACCACCCUUUUCCCCUUUAUCUUCCUUUGAACAAUAUUAAUUAAGGCCUGUUGCAGACAUAUGCAUUCUGAGCCUUC
RNAcentral lists this long non-coding RNA (481 nucleotides) under Pan troglodytes (chimpanzee). Its description in RNAcentral is "lincRNA". Lineage: Eukaryota; Metazoa; Chordata; Mammalia; Primates; Hominidae. The record is from RNAcentral.